GCAAGCUCAUUGUCUUCUCUUCACUAAACUUUAGUUAGUAGUUGGUCCCAGUCAGUAACACUCUGGGAGGGCUCAGGCCACAUCACGAAAUGUGACAGGAUAGCCUUGAACUCAUCAAUUGCUGGGGGCACCUCAAACUCAACUCCAAAAUUGAUCUAAUGAACUUUCCCAAACCACAUUCCCUUCUUGCAUUUCUGAGAGAAUGGAUUCCCAUUCAUCUGACUACAGUGCUACCCUGAAAGCAGAUCCAGAGACUAAGAUUCACCUGCAGGUGAUUCAUUUGCAAGGUAAGCUGUCAUCAGUUGGAGGUAAGCGGAAGACAGUAGAGAGUACAGAGCCCUGGACUGUGACUCAGAGGAUGAGCACCAGAUCCAGUUUGCUGUGCCACAGUGUGGAUUUUUAUCUGAGAUCUACAACUUAUGAAGAAUACAAAUGAUGUAUAUUCUUUUCUACUCUUCAUGUAUGGACUAGAGGGGCUUGCACAGUAGUAAGAAAAAAAUGGCUGAGACCCACAGGAACAAAGAAACAGGACAGGAGUUAGAUGCAGAGAAGAGAUUUCAACAAAAGUUUGGAAAAGAUGCUAACGGUAGCAUAUGAGUCACAGACAGAACAUUGGCACCUUUGUUUAAGAAACUGAAUGUUAAUGUCACAUCUGCCUUUGGAGAUUACAAAUGAAAUGGCUACCUUUCUACUGGAACCCUGACCAGAAGUCUGCCAGUUAGUAAGCUGGCUUAAGAGAUCAAUCUAAAAUUUACAUAAGGCUUUUGAAAAAAAGAAAAAAGAACCCAAAGGCACAGAUUGACGUUAUAAGUCCUGAUUUUUGACUUGACUUCUCAUCACCUGGAAGUGAAUAAAGCAGUAGACUUCUCUAACAUUUUGUAACACAGCAUGAAAAAAUAUAGAGUACAAAAGAUAUAUAUAUAUAAUAUGAUAAAAUGAUGAGUUACGUUUCUAAA
RNAcentral lists this long non-coding RNA (956 nucleotides) under Homo sapiens (human). RNAcentral describes it as "HSALNT0379764". Lineage: Eukaryota; Metazoa; Chordata; Mammalia; Primates; Hominidae. The record is from RNAcentral.